This is a long non-coding RNA of Myotis lucifugus (little brown bat), 981 nucleotides long. RefSeq lists it as uncharacterized. The record is from RefSeq and is a predicted model, not a curated record. Lineage: Eukaryota; Metazoa; Chordata; Mammalia; Chiroptera; Vespertilionidae. The transcript is spliced from 2 exons.
CAUGAUUUUAUGACCAAUGCUUUAGCAAGUUCACUUUAGAUGCAGUGCAUAAAAUGCACUGAGAGUGGGUAGGAGUGGAAACGUCUAUUUUACCUAUUCAUAUUGUUAAUGUGGUCACACAGUUUCGAUAUACCUCCAAAGCAAUGACAAUAACUCAUUUAGCAAAGACUUACCUAAUAGAAAAGACAGAAAAGGGGAGAUUUUAAUUAGGAAGUUAUUACAAAAAUCCAGUUAUAGAUGAGAAUAGUUUGGACCAAAUGGAGAGAAUUAAGCAGAUUUGUGGUGUGUUUUGGAAACAUAAUGAAUAGAAGUUUAGUGGUGGGUUGGCUGUGGAGUAUAAUUAAAGAGCCCUCAGAAUUAUUAGCAAUCUUAUAUCUGUUGCAACUAUGUUAAAGAUGUGAAAGUAUUUUUCCUAGAUGGGGAAGACUAGCAAAAAAAGCAAUGGGAGAGGAGAACCACAACUUUCAUCUUGGACACGGAAGCUGUUUGAAGGACAAACAAGUAAAGCUACACAGAUAUCCCAGAAGAAUGUGGGAACCUGGAGAGAGGACCAUCCAUUCACUUGCCUGCUGUGAGUUCCACUUGUGGACUCUCUAGGGAAGGAAUAACAUCAGAAGAGAAUGAUGAAUUGGAAGAGCCAGACAGGGUUCCUGCAUUGCAAGCUCCAAAUUAACUGUACAGUGAACAGAUUUGCAAAGGAAAAACAACACACAUGGGAAAAGGGCCUUCUGUUUAUUUUUUCUUCUUAUUAAUUUACCACAACCACCGUCAAGUGUCCCAGUUUCUGUCUGGGAAGAGAGGCUGGCAGGGCCAGUAAUCAAAGAGCAGCUGGAAAACCCCAAGAAAUUAUGGAACCCUCAUAAAAGAAUCAAAGGACAAUGUUUUUCAAACCACUUGAAAAACUGAAGAGUCCAUUCUGGUCAUGUUAUUGUGUUUUUCGUGAUGUGUUAACAACUGUAAUAAAGGACAUUGCCGAUUGUG